This is a long non-coding RNA of Bos indicus x Bos taurus (hybrid cattle), 246 nucleotides long. NCBI's taxonomy places the organism in Eukaryota, Metazoa, Chordata, Mammalia, Artiodactyla, Bovidae. The record is from Ensembl.
UGGCACAUGGGAUUAAUUCCCUGACCAGGAUUUGAACCUGCCUCUGCUGCAUUGAAAGCAUGGAGUCUUAACCACUGGACCAUGAGGGAAGUCCCCCUGAUGAUCUUUGUAAUUGAUGGGACAAGGCUCACCAAGAAAAGAUGGUGGCAUGAGAGCCAACUGCAAAAACAUUCUCCACUAAGUCCCAUUCUUCUAGGUUAGUCAAGGCCCAUUCUGUAUUGACAUCUGCAUUGGCCUACGACCUAA